GAUCAACGCUGGCGGCGUGCCUCAGACAUGCAAGUCGAACGCGAAAGUUCCCUUCGGGGGAUAAGUAGAGUGGCGUCCGGGUGAGUAACACGUAGGUAAUCUACCUUUGGGUGGGGAAUAACAACCGGAAACGGUUGCUAAUACCGCAUAAUGCAGCGGCACCACAUGGUGACAGUUGUUAAAGGCGGGGGAUCGCAAGACCUCGCGCCUAAAGAGGAGCCUGCGGCGGAUUAGCUAGUGGUAGGGUAACGGCCUACCAAGGCAACGAUCCGUAGCCGGCCUGAGAGGGCGGUCGGCCACACUGACACUGAAAUACGGGUCAGACUCCUACGGGAGGCAGCAGUCGGGAAUUUUGGGCAAUGGGCGAAAGCCUGACCCAGCAACGCCGCGUGAAGGAU
RNAcentral lists this ribosomal RNA (398 nucleotides) under uncultured bacterium. Its description in RNAcentral is "bacterial SSU rRNA". It matches the Rfam family "Bacterial small subunit ribosomal RNA", at positions 28 to 409 of the family's 1533-position model. The record is from RNAcentral.